GUGUUCACUCCAGCAGCACAUGUACUGAAAAUUAGACGAAAACAGAGAAGAUGAGCAUGGUCCCUGCACAAGGAUGGCACGCAAAUUCAUGAAACAUUUUAUAGUUUU
RNAcentral lists this small nuclear RNA (108 nucleotides) under Meriones unguiculatus (Mongolian gerbil). The record is from RNAcentral. Lineage: Eukaryota; Metazoa; Chordata; Mammalia; Rodentia; Muridae.